Molecule: ribosomal RNA, 493 nt
Filed under: uncultured bacterium
Lineage: Bacteria
Description: bacterial SSU rRNA
Rfam family: Bacterial small subunit ribosomal RNA
Source: RNAcentral
AAAGGAAUUGACGGGGGCCCGCACAAGCGGUGGAGCAUGUGGUUUAAUUCGACGCAACGCGAAGAACCUUACCAGGGCUUGACAUCCCUUGACCGCUGCAGAGAUGCAGUUUUCAGCUUGCUGACAAGGAGACAGGUGGUGCAUGGCUGUCGUCAGCUCGUGUCGUGAGAUGUUGGGUUAAGUCCCGCAACGAGCGCAACCCUUAUCCUUAGUUGCCAGCAUUUAGUUGGGCACUCUAAGGAGACUGCCACGGACAACGUGGAGGAAGGUGGGGAUGACGUCAAGUCAUCAUGCCCUUUAUGUCCUGGGCUACACACGUGCUACAAUGGUUCGUACAGAGGGAAGCAAAGCCGCGAGGUGGAGCCAAUCCCACAAAGCGAACCUCAGUUCGGAUUGGAGUCUGCAACUCGACUCCAUGAAGUCGGAAUCGCUAGUAACCGCAGAUCAGCAUGCUGCGGUGAAUACGUUCCCGGGCCUUGUACACACCGCCCGU